Molecule: ribosomal RNA, 411 nt
Filed under: uncultured organism
Description: bacterial SSU rRNA
Rfam family: Bacterial small subunit ribosomal RNA
Source: RNAcentral
UGGCUAAGACAUGCAAGUCGAACGGACCGGUCAAUCGGGUAACUGAGAGGCCGGUUAGUGGCGAAAGGGUGAGGAAUAGACAGGUAACGUACCUCGUACUUCAGGACAAUGUCGUGUCCGCAAGGAUACUACCGAAAGGGGCACUAAUACUGAAUGAUGUGAUCGGUCGAAUGGCUGAUCACCAAAGAUUUAUCGGUGCGAGAGCGGCCUAUCUCCUAUCAGUUAGUUGGUGAGGUAAUGGCUUACCAAGACUAUGACGGGUAGCGGGACUGAGAGGUUGGCCCGCCACAUCGGGACUGAGACACUGCCCGGACCUCCACGGAGGGCUGCAGUAACGAAUAUUGGGCAAUGGGCGAAAGCCUGACCCAGCGACGCCGCGUGCGGGAGGAAGUCCCUCGGGAUGUAAACCGC